UCAGCGUGCUGGACGGGCGUAUGGCCUACCUGCACGGCGCCUACACCGGCUACGUGGGCUUCUGGACCAACUGCAAGAAGCAUACAUGUGCCGACCUGCGCCAAGUCACGGUUCUCAUCCACAUGAGCAUGGGCUUCAUGAUCCUGGCCGUGAUCCUGGCUCUAGUUCUCCUCCUGGCCAUGGGCUUCUCCUUCCGGCCAGCACUCCGCCGUCUUAACAAGACUGACCUCGUCUUCAGUACCCUCAGCUCCUUCACUGUGCAGGGCUCCUGA
This 272-nucleotide long non-coding RNA is filed under the name Bos grunniens (domestic yak). RNAcentral's name for it is "lncRNA (ENSBGRG00000016659.1)". The record is from RNAcentral. Lineage: Eukaryota; Metazoa; Chordata; Mammalia; Artiodactyla; Bovidae.